CCUACGGGAGGCAGCAGUGGGGAAUAUUGCACAAUGGGGGAAACCCUGAUGCAGCGACGCCGCGUGAGUGAAGAAGGAUUUCGGUAUGUAAAGCUCUAUCAGCAGGGAAGAAAAUGACGGUACCUGAUUAAGAAGCCCCGGCUAACUACGUGCCAGCAGCCGCGGUAAUACGUAGGGGGCAAGCGUUCUCCGGAUUUAAUGGGUGUAAAGGGAGCGUAGACGGCAGCACAAGUCUGGAGUGAAAUGCCGGGGCUGAACCCCGGAACUGCUUUUGAAACUGUACAGCUGGAGUGCAGGAGAGGUAGGUGGAAUUCCUAGUGUAGCGGUGAAAUGCGUAGAUAUUAGGAGGAACACCAGUGGCGAAGGCGGCUUACUGGACUGUAACUGACGUUGAGGUUCGAAAGCGUGGGGAGCAAACAGGAUUAGAUACCCCAGUAGUC
Molecule: ribosomal RNA, 440 nt
Filed under: uncultured bacterium
Lineage: Bacteria
Description: partial 16S ribosomal RNA
Rfam family: Bacterial small subunit ribosomal RNA
Source: RNAcentral